This 413-nucleotide ribosomal RNA is filed under the name uncultured bacterium. RNAcentral describes it as "bacterial SSU rRNA". It matches the Rfam family "Bacterial small subunit ribosomal RNA", at positions 33 to 490 of the family's 1533-position model. The record is from RNAcentral.
UACGCUGGCGGCACGCCUAACACAUGCAAGUCGAACGAAGUAGCAAUACUUAGUGGCAGACGGGUGAGUAACAUGUAGGUAUCUGCCCUAUGGCCUGGAAUAACACGAGGAAACUUGUGCUAAUACCGGAUAAGUCUUUACAGAGAAAGCUUUACGCACCAUUGGAUGAGCCUGCACUUGAUUAGUUUGUUGGUAGGGUAAUGGCCUACCAAGACUGUGAUCAAUAGCUGAUUUGAGAGGAUGAUUAGCCACAUUGGGACUGAGACACGGCCCAAACUCCUACGGGAGGCAGCAGUGGGGAAUCUUGCACAAUGGAGGAAACUCUGAUGCAGCGAUGCCGCGUGAGUGAAGAAGGCCCUUGGGUUGUAAAGCUCUUUCGUCGGGGAAGAAAAUGACUGUACCCGAAUAAGAAG